RNAcentral lists this ribosomal RNA (500 nucleotides) under uncultured bacterium. Its description in RNAcentral is "partial 16S ribosomal RNA". It matches the Rfam family "Bacterial small subunit ribosomal RNA", at positions 899 to 1397 of the family's 1533-position model. The record is from RNAcentral.
ACUCAAAGGAAUUGACGGGGGCCCGCACAAGCGGUGGAACAUGCGGUUUAAUUCGACGCAACGCGAAGAACCUUACCUACUCUUGACAUCUAUAGGAUCUAGUAGAGAUAUUGGAGUGCCUUCGGGAACUAUAAGACAGGUGCUGCAUGGCUGUCGUCAGCUCGUGUCGUGAGAUGUUGGGUUAAGUCCCGUAACGAGCGCAACCCUUAUUCUUAGUUGCCAGCCAGUAAAGUGGGGAACUCUAGGGAGACUGCCGGUGACAAGCCGGAGGAAGGUGGGGACGACGUCAAGUCAUCAUGGCCCUUACGAGUAGGGCUACACGCGUGUUACAAUGGACGGUACAAAGGGAAGCGAACCCGCGAGGGGGAGCAAAUCCUAUCAAAGCCGUUCGUAGUCCGGAUUGGAGUCUGCAACUCGACUCCAUGAAGUUGGAAUCGCUAGUAAUCGUGGAUCAGAACGCCACGGUGAAUACGUUCUCGGGCCUUGUACACACCGCCCGU